Molecule: ribosomal RNA, 429 nt
Filed under: Bacteroidota bacterium
Lineage: Bacteria; Pseudomonadati; Bacteroidota
Description: Bacteroidetes bacterium partial 16S ribosomal RNA
Rfam family: Bacterial small subunit ribosomal RNA
Source: RNAcentral
UAGGGAAUCUUCCGCAAUGGACGCAAGUCUGACGGAGCAACGCCGCGUGAGUGAAGAAGGAUUUCGGUUCGUAAAACUCUGUUGUUAGAGAAGAACAGCGCAUAGAGUAACUGUUAUGCGUGUGACGGUAUCUAACCAGAAAGCCACGGCUAACUACGUGCCAGCAGCCGCGGUAAUACGUAGGUGGCAAGCGUUGUCCGGAUUUAUUGGGCGUAAAGCGAGCGCAGGCGGUCAAUUAAGUCUGAUGUGAAAGCCCCCGGCUCAACCGGGGAGGGUCAUUGGAAACUGGUUGACUUGAGUGCAGAAGAGGAGAGUGGAAUUCCAUGUGUAGCGGUGAAAUGCGUAGAUAUAUGGAGGAACACCAGUGGCGAAGGCGACUCUCUGGUCUGUAACCGACGCUGAGGUUCGAAAGCGUGGGUAGCAAACAGG